GUUAUUUCAUCUUCUAUAAUUACAUGGCUCUAUGAUUAGUAUGGUUGCCACCCUACACCCCACUUUAACCAAGGAAGCAAUCAAGGCCCAGACAGACGAAGUAGAUUUCCAAGGUUGGCUUCAGAAUUCACGUCCUUAACUCUCACGCUAGUGCCUGUGUGUGUCUCAUGUGUUCAUAGAGAUGGAAAAUGUGGGUUUUGGAAAGAAAAUAAUAGUGUAUUUCUGUACUGUGCCACCCGAUUCUCUCUUGAGAGCGAACAAGGCCCGAAUUCUUCCACAGGUUAAGUCCUAGAGGCUCAGGGCUCCCCCCGCUCCCGGGAAAUGCCCUCUGCUGAAGGGAGGUGCCCCCUCCAUGUUCACACCUCCUUCUGCAGGGGUUGAGGGGGGCUCUCACCCAGUGAAUGGCAGAUACAAAGGCCCCUUGCUUCCCUUUCGGACAGUUCUUCCAGGCCACCCAAGCUCCCAAGUUCUCCCUAUGAAUCAACUCCAGCCUUUUUGGAAACCACAUCCAGGCUGAACUCUCUCCCCAGCCCUGUUCGCUUCACUCCUCUGAGGCUCUGCAACCCUGAGAAGUCAGGAGAGAUCUUCAUGGUUCCAAGGUGACUUUGCUUCCCGUCUUAUGGGCAAGCUGUGUAUCCCAGCAUAUCAAGCAGAGCUCCAGGAGUUUCUCCACUGGGCAAAGGCCUGGCCCUUCCUGAUCUGUUACCAGUGUGUAUUUGGGGAAUUAGUAGGAAAGGUGGAGAAAUAAAGUAUGAUACUGUCACUAA
Molecule: non-coding RNA, 767 nt
Organism: Odocoileus virginianus texanus
Lineage: Eukaryota; Metazoa; Chordata; Mammalia; Artiodactyla; Cervidae
Source: RefSeq, a predicted model, not a curated record